AGAAAGUUGAAGAGUUCACCAAAGAUAACCCAAAUUGGAAGACUAAUAACUGGCAACAAAAUGAGAAUGAUAGAAAUGGUUACUAUCAGGAUUUCAAUAGUGAGAAUAAAGGCGGGAGUUAGCUCAAGCUCUUGGGAUGAUUGGGACCUCAAAGGUAGUAGGAAGGAAGAACCGCUUGAAAGAUCGACUCCACUAUCAUCUGGUAAGCAAUUUGGUACUAUCAACUCAAGCUCUUGGGAUGAUUGGGACCACAAAGACUCUCGGAAGGAAGAACCAGCUAAAGGAUUGGCUCCUCAUAAUCAUGAUGAUGGUUGGGCUGGCUGGGAUAAUAAUGCCAAAUGUGAUGGAUUUGAUAAUUUUUAUGAGGAUGAAUCUAAUAAGAAAGCUACUGGUCAUAAUGGGAAAUCAGAUGCCAAUUGGACAGGGGUAGGCUUUCUCUAAGGUUUGUAAAUUAUGCAAUAGUUCUUAGUAGAC
RNAcentral lists this long non-coding RNA (474 nucleotides) under Lotus japonicus. Its description in RNAcentral is "long non-coding RNA (LJAP_LNC002239)". The record is from RNAcentral. Lineage: Eukaryota; Viridiplantae; Streptophyta; Magnoliopsida; Fabales; Fabaceae.